RNAcentral lists this ribosomal RNA (496 nucleotides) under uncultured bacterium. RNAcentral describes it as "partial 16S ribosomal RNA". It matches the Rfam family "Bacterial small subunit ribosomal RNA", at positions 29 to 507 of the family's 1533-position model. The record is from RNAcentral.
AUGAACGCUGGCGGCGUGCCUAAUACAUGCAAGUCGAGCGAACAGACGAGGAGCUUGCUCCUCUGACGUUAGCGGCGGACGGGUGAGUAACACGUGGAUAACCUACCUAUAAGACUGGGAUAACUUCGGGAAACCGGAGCUAAUACCGGAUAAUAUAUUGAACCGCAUGGUUCAAUAGUGAAAGACGGUUUUGCUGUCACUUAUAGAUGGAUCCGCGCCGCAUUAGCUAGUUGGUAAGGUAACGGCUUACCAAGGCAACGAUGCGUAGCCGACCUGAAAGGGGGGUGCGCCCCCCCGGGAACUGGACACCGUUCCCGCUCCCAAGGGGGGCCAGCAGUAGGAAUUCUUCCGCAAGGGGCGAAAGCCGGACGGAGCAACCCCGGUGGGGUGAUGAAGGUCUUCGGUUCGUAAAACUCUUUUUUUGGGGAAAAAAAAAGGUGUAAGUAACUAUGCCGGUCUGGCCGGUACCUAAGAAGAAGCCCCGGCCAAACUCCUG